Molecule: transfer RNA, 76 nt
Filed under: Euzebyaceae bacterium
Lineage: Bacteria; Bacillati; Actinomycetota; Nitriliruptoria; Euzebyales; Euzebyaceae
Also listed under: 1 other name
Description: tRNA-Leu
Rfam family: tRNA
About the family: Transfer RNA (tRNA) molecules are approximately 80 nucleotides in length. Their secondary structure includes four short double-helical elements and three loops (D, anti-codon, and T loops). Further hydrogen bonds mediate the characteristic L-shaped molecular structure. tRNAs have two regions of fundamental functional importance: the anti-codon, which is responsible for specific mRNA codon recognition, and the 3' end, to which the tRNAs corresponding amino acid is attached (by aminoacyl-tRNA synthetases). tRNAs cope with the degeneracy of the genetic code in two manners: having more than one tRNA (with a specific anti-codon) for a particular amino acid; and 'wobble' base-pairing, i.e. permitting non-standard base-pairing at the 3rd anti-codon position.
Source: RNAcentral
GGGGACGUAGCCCAACCGGCAGCAGGCGCCCGGCUUAAAACCGGGUCCAGUGUGGGUUCGAGUCCCACCGUCCCCA